AAGGCCUUCCGGGUCGUAAAGCACUGUCAGGUGGGAAGAAGAAGUGACGGUACCACCGAAAGGAAGCACCGGCUAACUCCGUGCCAGCAGCCGCGGUAAUACGGAGGGUGCAAACGUUGUUCGGAAUCAUUGGGCGUAAAGGGCACGCAGGCGGCGUGUCAGGUCGGAUGUGAAAGCCCGGGGCUCAACCCCGGAAUUGCGUUCGAAACCGACAUGCUGGAGUCCUGGAGAGGGAAGCAGAAUUCCUGGUGUAGGGGUGAAAUCCGUAGAUAUCAGGAGGAAGACCAGCGGCGAAGGCGGCUUCCUGGCCAGAGACUGACGCUGAGGUGCGAAAGCAUGGGUAGCAAACAGGAUUAGAUACCCUGGUAGUCCAUGCUGUAAACGUUGUUCACUAGAUGACGGGGAAAUGAGCCUCUUCGUGUCAACGCUAACGCAUAAGUGAACCGCC
RNAcentral lists this ribosomal RNA (448 nucleotides) under uncultured delta proteobacterium. RNAcentral describes it as "bacterial SSU rRNA". It matches the Rfam family "Bacterial small subunit ribosomal RNA", at positions 411 to 873 of the family's 1533-position model. Lineage: Bacteria; Deltaproteobacteria. The record is from RNAcentral.